AUACGGAGGAUGCGAGCGUUAUCCGGAUUUAUUGGGUUUAAAGGGAGCGUAGGUGGGAUAUUAAGUCAGCUGUGAAAGUUUGGGGCUCAACCUUAAAAUUGCAGUUGAUACUGGUUUCCUUGAGUACGGUACAGGUGGGCGGAAUUCGUGGUGUAGCGGUGAAAUGCUUAGAUAUCACGAAGAACUCCGAUUGCGAAGGCAGCCUGCUGGACUGUAACUGACGCUGAUGCUCGAAAGUGUGGGUAUCAAACAGGAUUAGAUACCCUGGUAGUCCACACAGUAAACGAUGAAUACUCGCUGUUUGCGAUAUACAGUAAGCGGCCUAGCGAAAGCGUUAAGUAUUCCACCUGGGGAGUACGCCGGCAACGGUGAAACUCAAAUGAAUUGACGGGG
This 393-nucleotide ribosomal RNA is filed under the name uncultured bacterium. RNAcentral's name for it is "partial 16S ribosomal RNA". It matches the Rfam family "Bacterial small subunit ribosomal RNA", at positions 523 to 918 of the family's 1533-position model. The record is from RNAcentral.